GACGAACGCUGGCGGCGUGCCUAAUACACGCAAGUAGAACGCUGAAGGAGGAGCUUGCUUCUCUGGAUGAGUUGCGAACGGGUGAGUAACGCGUAGGUAACCUGCCUGGUAGCGGGGGAUAACUAUUGGAAACGAUAGCUAAUACCGCAUAAUAGUAGAUGUUGCAUGACAUUUGCUUAAAAGGUGCAAUUGCAUCACUACCAGAUGGACCUGCGUUGUAUUAGCUAGUUGGUGGGGUAACGGCUCACCAAGGCGACGAUACAUAGCCGACCUGAGAGGGUGAUCGGCCACACUGGGACUGAGACACGGCCCAGACUCCUACGGGAGGCAGCAGUAGGGAAUCUUCGGCAAUGGACGGAAGUCUGACCGAGCAACGCCGCGUGAGUGAAGAAGGUUUUCGGAUCGUAAAGCUCUGUUGUAAGAGAAGAACGAGUGUGAGAGUGGAAAGUUCACACUGUGACGGUAUCUUACCAGAAAGGGACGGCUAACUACGUGCCAGCAGCCGCGGUAAUACGUAGGUCCCGAGCGUUGUCCGGAUUUAUUGGGCGUAAAGCGAGCGCAGGCGGUUAGAUAAGUCUGAAGUUAAAGGCUGUGGCUUAACCAUAGUACGCUUUGGAAACUGUUUAACUUGAGUGCAAGAGGGGAGAGUGGAAUUCCAUGUGUAGCGGUGAAAUGCGUAGAUAUAUGGAGGAACACCGGUGGCGAAAGCGGCUCUCUGGCUUGUAACUGACGCUGAGGCUCGAAAGCGUGGGGAGCAAACAGG
Molecule: ribosomal RNA, 763 nt
Filed under: uncultured Streptococcus sp.
Lineage: Bacteria; Bacillati; Bacillota; Bacilli; Lactobacillales; Streptococcaceae
Description: bacterial SSU rRNA
Rfam family: Bacterial small subunit ribosomal RNA
Source: RNAcentral